This 351-nucleotide ribosomal RNA is filed under the name uncultured bacterium. Its description in RNAcentral is "bacterial SSU rRNA". It matches the Rfam family "Bacterial small subunit ribosomal RNA", at positions 917 to 1269 of the family's 1533-position model. The record is from RNAcentral.
GGACCCGCACAAGCGGUGGAGCAUGUGGUUUAAUUCGAUGCAACGCGAAAAACCUUACCUACUCUUGACAUACUUGGAAGCUCUUGUAAUGAGAGUGUGCCUUUUGGAACCAAGAUACAGGUGCUGCAUGGCUGUCGUCAGCUCGUGUCGUGAGAUGUUCCGUUAAGUCGGAUAACGAGCGCAACCCUUACCCUUAUUUGCCAGCGAUUCGGUCGGGAACUAUAAGGGGACUGCCGGUGAUAAACCGGAGGAAGGUGAGGACGACGUCAAGUCAUCAUGGCCCUUACGAGUAGGGCUACACACGUGCUACAAUGGGAAGUACAGAGGGACGCCAAAGCGCGAGCUGGAGCU